UACAUGGGGUGCAAACGUUGCUCGGAAUUAUUGGGCGUAAAGCGCGCGUAGGCGGUUACUUAAGUCGGAUGUGAAAGCCCUCGGCUUAACUGAGGAAGUGCACCCGAAACUGAGUAGCUAGAGUACGAAAGAGGGUCGCGGAAUUCCCGGUGUAGAGGUGAAAUUCGUAGAUAUCGGGAGGAACACCGGUGGCGAAGGCGGCGACCUGGGACGGUACUGACGCUGAGACGCGAAAGCGUGGGGAGCGAACAGG
RNAcentral lists this ribosomal RNA (253 nucleotides) under uncultured bacterium. RNAcentral describes it as "partial 16S ribosomal RNA". It matches the Rfam family "Bacterial small subunit ribosomal RNA", at positions 524 to 776 of the family's 1533-position model. The record is from RNAcentral.